UAAUAAGUGUUUUAUGGCACUUUUUAAAUCCAUAUCCACCUUGUGUGCAAUGUCAGUCGAUCUUCUUCAUGGAGAUCGACCAAACAUCAACCUUUAUUUUUUAACUCUUUGUCUGAAAAAAUAUUAUGAAUAAAACAAUUCAAAAUA
This 147-nucleotide unclassified non-coding RNA is filed under the name soil metagenome. RNAcentral's name for it is "partial internal transcribed spacer 1". The record is from RNAcentral.